Molecule: ribosomal RNA, 527 nt
Filed under: uncultured bacterium
Lineage: Bacteria
Description: partial 16S ribosomal RNA
Source: RNAcentral
GGAGUUAGCCGGUGCUUCUUCUGUGAGUGAUGUCCUUCCUGCCGGCUAUUAACCCGCAGGCCUUCUUCCUCACUGAAAGUGCUUUACAACCCGAAGGCCUUCUUCACACACGCGGCAUGGCUGGAUCAGGGUUGCCCCCAUUGUCCAAUAUUCCCCACUGCUGCCUCCCGUAGGAGUCUGGGCCGUGUCUCAGUCCCAGUGUGGCUGAUCAUCCUCUCAGACCAGCUACGGAUCGUCGCCUUGGUGAGCCGUUACCUCACCAACCAGCUAAUCCGACAUAGGCUCAUCCGAUAGCGCGAGGCCCGAAGGUCCCCCGCUUUCCCCCGUAGGGCGUAUGCGGUAUUAGCCUGGGUUUCCCCAGGUUAUCCCCCACUACCGGGCAGAUUCCUAUGCAUUACUCACCCGUCCGCCGCUCGCCACCAGGGAGCAAGCUCCCCGUGCUGCCGCUCGACUUGCAUGUGUUAGGCCUGCCGCCAGCGUUCAAUCUGAGCCAGUNACACACUCNCGCGNGCGGCGCGCGACGACGC